UUUCUAUCACACCUUCCCUCGUUCUCUCUUUGACACAGUCACCAAAAGGUCAAACUUCUCUACCCGGCCAAAAACUCCUCCGGAACCUAACCGGAAAAUGACCACAUAUGGCACGAUCCCAACCGCAUCGUCGCCGGGAGCCACCACCAACAUCGAGUACAUAUCUCGAGCUAAAGAAAGGAUCAAAGAAGGGUUAGGCACUCGCAGACCAUGGAAAAUAAUGUUCAAUUUCCAUUCUUUUAAGCUCCCUACCAAUCUAGCAGAAGCUCUGGUCCGACUGAAGACUAACGCCGCUUACUUUGGCAUGAACUACGCCAUAAUAAUACUGAUAAUCUUGUUCUUGAGCCUUCUGUGGCACCCAAUCUCCCUUAUAGUGUUUAUAGUGAUGAUGGCUGCGUGGUUGUUCUUGUACUUCUUGAGGGAUGAGCCAUUGGAGGUUUUUGGCCGGACGAUCGACGAUCUAGUGGUUUUGAUCUUACUUGGAGUGCUGACGAUAGUGUUCUUGUUGCUGACCCAUGUGACUUUGAAUGUUAUAGUGUCGCUGGUGAUCGGAGUGGUGGCUGUGGUGGUGCAUGGAGUUAUAAGAAAGAUUGAUGAUUUGUUCUUGGAUGAGGAGGCUACUGGGUUGAUGAGUACUGCAAGUGGCGGUGGUGCUGCUUCCUCUUCUUCUUGAUUGUGAGGUUCUUUGUGUUUAGUUGAGGUUAAUGGGUACUACUACUGAGAUUAAUUAAUUCCAAUUUGCUGCUAUUUGGCUUUUUUUUGGUUAUUUGGUGUUCACUAAUUAUGGUUUUCUCAUUUCUAAUUGUGGUUUGGAUUUUGAAGUUGCUGGAAUUGAUAGGAUUUCAGUUUUGAUUUUGCUUUGGUUCCCUUUUUUUUUUGGGGGGGUGGGUGAAGGAACAGCAAGAAAAACUAUUAUUAGCUAACUAAUCCUCGACAUGAUUGUUUUUGCUGGCUCAUGUAAUUGAUAGUUUUUGUGUUGUGGCUCCCAUUUUCCUUU
This 997-nucleotide unclassified non-coding RNA is filed under the name Hevea brasiliensis (rubber tree). Lineage: Eukaryota; Viridiplantae; Streptophyta; Magnoliopsida; Malpighiales; Euphorbiaceae. The record is from RNAcentral.